This 1397-nucleotide ribosomal RNA is filed under the name Bacillus sp. (in: firmicutes). RNAcentral describes it as "bacterial SSU rRNA". It matches the Rfam family "Bacterial small subunit ribosomal RNA". The record is from RNAcentral. Lineage: Bacteria; Bacillati; Bacillota; Bacilli; Caryophanales; Bacillaceae.
GUCGAGCGGACAGAUGGGAGCUUGCUCCCUGAUGUUAGCGGCGGACGGGUGAGUAACACGUGGGUAACCUGCCUGUAAGACUGGGAUAACUCCGGGAAACCGGGGCUAAUACCGGAUGGUUGUUUGAACCGCAUGGUUCAAACAUAAAAGGUGGCUUCGGCUACCACUUACAGAUGGACCCGCGGCGCAUUAGCUAGUUGGUGAGGUAACGGCUCACCAAGGCAACGAUGCGUAGCCGACCUGAGAGGGUGAUCGGCCACACUGGGACUGAGACACGGCCCAGACUCCUACGGGAGGCAGCAGUAGGGAAUCUUCCGCAAUGGACGAAAGUCUGACGGAGCAACGCCGCGUGAGUGAUGAAGGUUUUCGGAUCGUAAAGCUCUGUUGUUAGGGAAGAACAAGUACCGUUCGAAUAGGGCGGUACCUUGACGGUACCUAACCAGAAAGCCACGGCUAACUACGUGCCAGCAGCCGCGGUAAUACGUAGGUGGCAAGCGUUGUCCGGAAUUAUUGGGCGUAAAGGGCUCGCAGGCGGUUUCUUAAGUCUGAUGUGAAAGCCCCCGGCUCAACCGGGGAGGGUCAUUGGAAACUGGGGAACUUGAGUGCAGAAGAGGAGAGUGGAAUUCCACGUGUAGCGGUGAAAUGCGUAGAGAUGUGGAGGAACACCAGUGGCGAAGGCGACUCUCUGGUCUGUAACUGACGCUGAGGAGCGAAAGCGUGGGGAGCGAACAGGAUUAGAUACCCUGGUAGUCCACGCCGUAAACGAUGAGUGCUAAGUGUUAGGGGGUUUCCGCCCCUUAGUGCUGCAGCUAACGCAUUAAGCACUCCGCCUGGGGAGUACGGUCGCAAGACUGAAACUCAAAGGAAUUGACGGGGGCCCGCACAAGCGGUGGAGCAUGUGGUUUAAUUAGAAGCAACGCGAAGAACCUUACCAGGUCUUGACAUCCUUUGACAAUCCUAGAGAUAGGACGUCCCCUUCGGGGGCAGAGUGACAGGUGGUGCAUGGUUGUCGUCAGCUCGUGUCGUGAGAUGUUGGGUUAAGUCCCGCAACGAGCGCAACCCUUGAUUUUAGUUGCCAGCAUUCAGUUGGGCACUCUAAGGUGACUGCCGGUGACAAACCGGAGGAAGGUGGGGAUGACGUCAAAUCAUCAUGCCCCUUAUGACCUGGGCUACACACGUGCUACAAUGGACAGAACAAAGGGCAGCGAAACCGCGAGGUUAAGCCAAUCCCACAAAUCUGUUCUCAGUUCGGAUCGCAGUCUGCAACUCGACUGCGUGAAGCUGGAAUCGCUAGUAAUCGCGGAUCAGCAUGCCGCGGUGAAUACGUUCCCGGGCCUUGUACACACCGCCCGUCACACCACGAGAGUUUGUAACACCCGAAGUCGGUGAGGUAACCU